AUUGAACGCUGGCGGCAUGCCUUACACAUGCAAGUCGAACGGCAGCACGGGUGCUUGCACCUGGUGGCGAGUGGCGAACGGGUGAGUAAUACAUCGGAACAUGUCCUGUAGUGGGGGAUAGCCCGGCGAAAGCCGGAUUAAUACCGCAUACGAUCUACGGAUGAAAGCGGGGGACCUUCGGGCCUCGCGCUAUAGGGUUGGCCGAUAGCUGAUUAGCUAGUUGGUGGGGUAAAGGCCUACCAAGGCGACGAUCAGUAGCUGGUCUGAGAGGACGACCAGCCACACUGGGACUGAGACACGGCCCAGACUCCUACGGGAGGCAGCAGUGGGGAAUUUUGGACAAUGGGCGAAAGCCUGAUCCGGCAAUGCCGCGUGUGUGAAGAAGGCCUUCGGGUUGUAAAGCACUUUUGUCCGGAAAGAAAUCCUUGGCUCUAAUACAGUCGGGGGAUGACGGUACCGGAAGAAUAAGCACCGGCUAACUACGUG
This 486-nucleotide ribosomal RNA is filed under the name uncultured bacterium. RNAcentral's name for it is "partial 16S ribosomal RNA". It matches the Rfam family "Bacterial small subunit ribosomal RNA", at positions 30 to 507 of the family's 1533-position model. The record is from RNAcentral.